UAGGGAAUCUUGCGCAAUGGGCGAAAGCCUGACGCAGCCAUGCCGCGUGAAUGAUGAAGGUCUUAGGAUUGUAAAAUUCUUUCACCGGGGAAGAUAAUGACGGUACCCGGAGAAGAAGCCCCGGCUAACUUCGUGCCAGCAGCCGCGGUAAUACGAAGGGGGCUAGCGUUGCUCGGAAUUACUGGGCGUAAAGGGCGCGUAGGCGGACAUUUAAGUCAGGGGUGAAAGCCCGGGGCUCAACCUCGGAAUUGCCUUUGAUACUGGAUGUCUUGAGUUCGGGAGAGGUGAGUGGAAUGCCGAGUGUAGAGGUGAAAUUCGUAGAUAUUCGGCGGAACACCAGUGGCGAAGGCGACUCACUGGCCCGAUACUGACGCUGAGGCGCGAAAGCGUGGGGAGCAAACAGGAUUAGAUACCCUGGUAGUCCACGCCGUAAACGAUGAGUGCUAGUUGUCGGCAUGCAUGCAUGUCGGUGACGCAGCUAACGCAUUAAGCACUCCGCCUGGGGAGUCGGCCGCAAGAUUAAAACUCAAAGGAAUUGACGGGGUCAUAGCUGUUUCCUG
RNAcentral lists this ribosomal RNA (560 nucleotides) under uncultured bacterium. RNAcentral describes it as "partial 16S ribosomal RNA". It matches the Rfam family "Bacterial small subunit ribosomal RNA", at positions 355 to 1376 of the family's 1533-position model. The record is from RNAcentral.